CUUUUUUCCUUUUGAAAAUCCAUUUACAUUUUAUGUAUUUAAUCCCUUCGAGUGGAUCAACCAGUGUCCAUAUACUAUUGAUCUCUAUAGACUUCAUCUCGAAUUUCAUGGCAUCAAGCUAUUUUUGAGAGUCAUGCCUUUGCAUAGUAUCCAUGUAGGUGAUUGAAUCCUCGUCGUUCUCAUCUAUUUCGACAGUGUCACCAUCCCAGACCAAGAAACUAUAAUAUCUAUCCGGUUGAUGCGGUACUCUACUGGAUCUCAUUGAUGAUGCCUCUACAGGC
RNAcentral lists this long non-coding RNA (281 nucleotides) under Elaeis guineensis (African oil palm). Its description in RNAcentral is "long non-coding RNA (EGUI_LNC012223)". Lineage: Eukaryota; Viridiplantae; Streptophyta; Magnoliopsida; Arecales; Arecaceae. The record is from RNAcentral.